UCGACGAUGUUACUUUGAGUAAAUUAGAGUGUUCAAAGCAAGCUGUCGCUCUGAAUAUGAUAGCAUGGGAUAACACGACAGGACUCUGGCCUAUCGUGUUGGUCUGUAGGACCGGAGUAAUGAUUAAGAGGGACGGUCGGGGGCAUUCGUAUUCCAUUGUCAGAGGUGAAAUUCUUGGAUUUAUGGGGGACGAACAAUUGCGAAAGCAUUUGCCAAGGAUGUUUUCAUUGAUCAAGAACGAAAGUUGGGGGCUCGAAGACGAUUAGAUACCGUUGUAGUCUCAACCAUAAACGAUGCCGACUCGGGAUUGGCGGGUGUUUAUUCGAUGACUCCGCCAGCACCGUAUGAGAAAUCAAAGUUUUUGGGUUCCGGGGGGAGUAUGGUCGCAAGGCUGAAACUUAAAGGAAUUGACGGAAGGGCACCACCAGGCGUGGAGCCUGCGGCUCAAUUUGACUCAACACGGGAAAACUUACCAGGUCCAGACGUAGGAAGGAUUGACAGAUUGAUAGCUCUUUCUUGAUUCUUAUGGGUGGUGGUGCAUGGCCGUUCUUAGUUGGUGGGUUGCCUUGUCAGGUUGAUUCCGGUAACGAACGAGACCUCAGCCUGCUAAAUAGUCACGGCUGCAUCCGCAGCUGGCAAACUUCUUAGAGGGACUGUUGGCGACUAGCCAACGGAAGUAUGAGGCAAUAACAGGUCUGUGAUGCCCUUAGAUGUUCUGGGCCGCACGCGCGCUACACUGAUACGUUCAACAAGUUCCUUGGCUCGAAAGGUCUGGGUAAUCUUUGAAACCGUAUCGUGAUGGGGAUAGAACAUUGCAAUUAUUGUUCUUCAACGAGGAAUGCCUAGUAAUCGCGAGUCAUCAUCUCGCGUUGAUUACGUCCCUGCCCUUUGUACACACCGCCCGUCGCUCCUACCGAUUGGAUGUGCUGGUGAAGACUUCGGA
This 943-nucleotide ribosomal RNA is filed under the name uncultured eukaryote. RNAcentral's name for it is "SSU rRNA". It matches the Rfam family "Eukaryotic small subunit ribosomal RNA", at positions 743 to 1714 of the family's 1831-position model. The record is from RNAcentral.